Molecule: ribosomal RNA, 498 nt
Filed under: uncultured bacterium
Lineage: Bacteria
Description: partial 16S ribosomal RNA
Rfam family: Bacterial small subunit ribosomal RNA
Source: RNAcentral
GACGAACGCUGGCGGCGUGCCUAAUACAUGCAAGUCGAACGAGAGCGCCCGGUGCUUGCACUGGUCAAUCUAGCGGCGAACGGGUGAGUAACACGUGGGUAACCUGCCCAUCAGAGGGGGAUAACAUCCGGAAACGGAUGCUAAAACCGCAUAGGUCUUCGAACCGCAUGGUUUGAAGAGGAAAAGAGGCGCAAGCUUCUGCUGAUGGAUGGACCCGCGGUGCAUUAGCUAGUUGGUGAGGUAACGGCUCACCAAGGCCGUGAUGCAUAGCCGACCUGAGAGGGUGAUCGGCCACAUUGGGACUGAGACACGGCCCAAACUCCUACGGGAGGCAGCAGUAGGGAAUCUUCCGCAAUGGACGCAAGUCUGACGGAGCAACGCCGCGUGAGUGAAGAAGGUUUUCGGAUCGUAAAACUCUGUUGUUAGAGAAGAACAAGUGCUAGAGUAACUGUUAGCGCCUUGACGGUAUCUAACCAGAAAGCCACGGCUAACUACGUG